UAUUGUAUUGAUAACUUACAAUAAUAGUAUAUAAUUAUUUUAGACAACGUACGUUAGCUGCCACUCGAGUAUCCCAGUCAACUUACAGAAGAGUGGUCCAAGAGUCAGAAUAUAUAGAAAAUAUACCUUCCUAUUCCUUUACGAGUCCAAGGAAAAAAAGGUUAAGAAAAUCUCAGAAGAUUGGUAACAUUACUUUGACCCAAAUUAAAGAUAUAAAACAAAUAGUGUAUGAUUUCUACAUAUUUGAAAAAAGAAGACCUACUCUAAAAUAUGGACCAAAACGGACGAUAACAGAAAAGCUCUUAUGGAAUCUUACGACAUACGAUUGAAAAGGAUCAAAUAUUUAAAGCAAAUUUUAAAAUAUAAAGAGGAAGGCCGUAAUAUUGUAUAUACUGAUAAAAGUUACAUACAUAGCAGUCAUACAAAGGACAAAGGGUGGUUUGAUGAAAGUCGACAUGGAAUUAGAAAACCCAUUUCCAAAGGACAGAGACUGAUAAUUCUUCAUGCUGGGGGAAGAAAUGGUUUCGUAAAUAAUGGGUUACUGAUUUUUCGCUCAGGGUCAAAAAACGGAGACUAUCAUGAUGAUAUGAACCAUCACAACUUCAUGAAAUGGGCCGAAAAUCAGUUAAUUCCAAAUUUACUACCUAAUUCCGUCCUAGUAUUAGACAAUGCAGCUUAUCACAAUGUGCCUGUAGUCAAGAAUGUUACAUCUGGAAGUAAAAAGCAGGAAAUAGUUGACUGGCUCAAGGAACGUAAUUUUACAUUUGAUGCAAAACUCACCAAGACAGAGUUAUAUGAAAUAGUGUCUGAAAAUAAAAAAAAAGUAUCCUGUAAAAACCAAGUUGGACGACCUAAUGGAAAAGCAUGGACACAUUGUAUUACGUUUGCCUCCAUACCACCCAGAGCUUAAUCCAAUAGAAAAAAUUUGGGCAACUGUUAAGAAUUGGGUGGCAAGCAGAAAUUCCACUUUUAAAUUGGCGGAUGUCGAAACUUUGACAAGGCAGAAAUUUCGAAUGAUGAGUGGAUAAAUAUUUGCAACCAUAUAGACAACAUAGAAAAACAAUAUUUCGAAAGUCAUCGCCUUUUUGAUGAAGCAUUGGAUUUUUUAAAAUUUACAGUAAAUACAGGCUCAUCUGAUGAAGAGAUCGAAUGGUCUUCAUCGGAUGAAUCUGAUUUAGGUUAUAAUACACUAUCUGAUAGUGAAUAAAAAUAUAUAAUAUGUAAAAUAAUGAAAUAAAACUUUAAGCUUAUACCAAUUUGUUUCUUUACACAAGUCGU
This 1278-nucleotide long non-coding RNA is filed under the name Anthonomus grandis grandis. RNAcentral describes it as "uncharacterized LOC126733773". Lineage: Eukaryota; Metazoa; Arthropoda; Insecta; Coleoptera; Curculionidae. The record is from RNAcentral.